Molecule: ribosomal RNA, 309 nt
Filed under: uncultured bacterium
Lineage: Bacteria
Description: bacterial SSU rRNA
Rfam family: Bacterial small subunit ribosomal RNA
Source: RNAcentral
GAUGAACGCUGGCGGCGUGCUUAACACAUGCAAGUCGAGCGAUGAAGUUUCCUUCGGGAAACGGAUUAGCGGCGGACGGGUGAGUAACACGUGGGUAACCUGCCUCGUAGAGUGGAAUAGCCUUCCGAAAGGAAGAUUAAUACCGCAUAACGUUGAAAGAUGGCAUCAUCAUUCAACCAAAGGAGCAAUCCGCUAUGAGAUGGACCCGCGGCGCAUUAGCUAGUUGGUGAGGUAACGGCUCACCAAGGCGACGAUACAUAGCCGACCUGAGAGGGUGAACGGCCACACUGGGACUGAGACACGGCCCGG